Molecule: non-coding RNA, 3113 nt
Organism: Ictidomys tridecemlineatus (thirteen-lined ground squirrel)
Lineage: Eukaryota; Metazoa; Chordata; Mammalia; Rodentia; Sciuridae
Source: RefSeq, a predicted model, not a curated record
GGCACUGGAAGCAGCCAGAGCCCCCAUUCCAGAACCUCUCUGAUGUCACACUUGUAGUCAUGGUACUCUGGGUGCCAAACCAGGAGAAGGAGCGGUUGGCUCUCAUUAGUUUGAGAGCAGGCAUCGGAUCAUGACUAUCAAAGGAUUUACUGUCCCCACCCCCACCCCCAGCCAGAUCCUGGGUUUUCUCGAGCCUUUGGGCUUGUUUCACUGUGGCAUCCCUGGUCUCUCUAAGCCUAGUGUUCUUCACAUUUCUAUGCCGAGCACUGGCCCAAGAUGGAGAGUGGGGCUUUCCCAUGGCCACGGGGCUUCUCUGCCUCCCCACUAUGUACAGGCUCAUUUCUAUGAAUACUUCAGACCCAGGCAUUUACACAGAGGCGCCUUCAAGCAGGACCCUGAGGCUCCCUACAUGGCACAAGUGAAUGGCAGGUUAUACAAAAUGCCGUGGUGUCCCACCUGUUAUUUUCACAGCCUGCCCUGAACCUUCCUAUGCAAAACCUGUGACAUCUGUGUAGAGGUGAGUGCUCCUCCUCCCUGUCCACUCACCAACCUAUCUAUGGGCACCUGGCUAGGACCAGAAACCUCACAUCAUGAGUGGGUCAGUUGAGUGUAUCAAACCAUGUUCUCAGAGUGCUUCAAGUGCCUCUCAGCCACUGUUGGUCACUUAUAUAUGUCAUCACCUCUGUGUCUGCACCUGUCCAGGGAGGCUGGCCUUGUUUGCACAGGUGUUGAUAUGCAAAGGGCAUCACAACUGUGCUGAGCCUUGUGGAGUCAGGGGAAGGAAAAUCAGUGACUGUCCCCUCCCCUGGUUUGUUGAUAGUAGAUCCCCAGCCCUUUAGGCUGACUGCUGCCAUGUCCUGGGGAUCUUUGUCGGUCUUGGUCUGGGUGCCCAGUUGGAGGGUUUCCUGGAUUCUGAGUGCCUUUCUCUGAUGUGCACACCCUGCUCAGGUUCACAAGUAUAGAUGGCUGGUUGGGCAAGGGUGUUUUUUCAUCCUUAUCCAGUUUCUGAGAAAACAUAGGCCCAGAGAUGUCCUAUCCUGCUCCAAGUGAAACCAGGCAGGUCUUGUCUCUAAAGAUCUCACUCAGGACAGGUGAACUAAUGAGCUAUGGGGCUAACUGUGCUCUAACCAUGGAAAUGCCAGGUUCUCCCUGAGAUUGGAACCUGUGUGUAGGGCCAAGAGAAGGUGCCUAGAGGGCUGAAUUGGGGGAUGCCCCAGGAUUAGGAGGUGAUGGAGGCCGAUCCAGACAGAUCCUCAGUCCUGCCUCCUCUACCCUAGGAGUUCGACCACCAUUGCAGGUGGGUGAAUAACUGCAUGGGGCACUGAAACAUCCGGCUCCACCUGCUACUCCUCCUGUGCCUAUGCCUCUACCUGGGUGCCGUGCUGACCACCUGUGUGGUUUUCAUCAUGCAGAGGAGGCACAUGGCAUUCCUGGACUAUACCAUGAUGUAUCCACACAGUCCCAAGGAAGGGCCCACCCUGAGAAGAGCUGCUUGUGGUGGGGAGGGAGGGGCAAACAGCCAAGGAGGGACAUAGGAGACCAAGGGUAGGGCUAGAGAGAUAAGUCACUUGGGAGUACUUGUGAAGGAGAUGUGGAAGGCCAGUGGGGUCAGUGACAUGGGCUGUGUAGGAUACCUGUGGAGUUAAGAAUCUAGGGGGGCCAGAAAUAGGAUAAUAAAAGUUGAAAAGGGACAUAUGGGUGGACAGUGUGGUGGACUGAGUUUUCACUUGGGUGUACUGGACUAACUGUCCAGUCCAGGGAAGGAGAGUGUGUGGGUGGUGCUAGCUGGGGUGGGAAGGAGUGAGGGAGGAGUUGGGUAGAAAAGCGGAGGCAGGGAAGAGCUCUUCCAUGGCUUCACUUCUUAGCCUAUGCACAGCAUCCUAGUGGCUGUACCUGCUGGGGCCCUCCUGCUCCCCCUCAUCCUGCAGUUGUUCAUCAAGGGAGUGGCCGUGGGCACCACCAGGUGACCCUACGAAGACCAGUUAAGUGGUCUGAGUGUGUGUGUCCUUGACUGUGUGGAGGUGUCUUAUACAUCUGCAAUUAGGCACUUUGUGUGCUUUCUCCACUGCCCUUGGCCCUGAUGUUUCUUUAUGAGUCCUUCCAGACCCACCUCUGAAGAUGUAACUCAGAUAUCUCUAUACCCUGGAGCUUGGUGGCCAUUCUCCCUCUUGGGUGCAUUGUAUUGAAAGCCUACUGUGUGCUAGGUGGCAAUUAUUUGAGGGAUGGGUGUAGAGAUGAGUAAGUAUGUCAUGCACUUGUGUUGAUCAGCAAAAUGCAGUCAGAAUAACAUCUGGAGACACCCAGGAACACUGAGAAGAGGGGUCAGUCCUGAGUGGUGUAACAGACUGGAAAAGACUGGGAGUCUGAUGAAUCCCACACUGUAGAGUAGAACAUGCCACUCUCUGUGUCCUGUGUGCUUUUGGAGAGGAGACAGGAAGGCAUUGACUGUGAGAGGUACAAUUGUUCAGAAAGUCCCAGAAAACUGAAAGUAGGGUGUUAACAGAAUGAUGAAGAAAUGGAUCUAGUUCAAGCACAAGGUGGCAUGAUGUUGACCCCAAGGGGGUCAAGAUUAAAAAGACCCAGAACGUCAAUUGUGGAAUGUAGUUUUCAAGUAGUGGAAACCUGGGAGCCAUGGUAAAAUUUUGUAAAAAUGUCAAUUAUUGAGGGUAAUUACAAACAGUAAAAUUUAUCUUUUUUAGUCUCCAGUUAGGGAUUUUGACAAAUGACAUCGUGUACUCUCCACCAAGAUCAAGGUUAACCAGUUUCAUUACCCCAGAAAAUUCUUUCAUCUCUUGUUGCCAAGUUUUCUCCCUGAGUCCUUGUGGUGUUUUUUUUUUUUUUCCAGAAUCAUGCAUAAAUGGUGUUGUGGGCUUUCUAGUCUGGCUUCAUUCCCUGAGCACAACACAUUUGAGAUUCAUCUAUGUAGUUGCUCAUAUCAGUAGUUUAUUUUCUUUUGUUUCUGUGUAGUAUUAUAUUUCCCUGCAGAUUAUUUAUAUAUUCACUAAUUGAAGGAUUUUUACUUUGCAUCUAGUUUUUGACAGUGUUGUUUUUUUUUUUGGUCUAUUUUGUUUUGUUUUUGUACCAACAAUUGAACCCAGAUAUGCUUAACCACU